UACGUAGGGUGCGAGCGUUAAUCGGAAUUACUGGGCGUAAAGCGUGCGCAGGCGGUUCGCUAAGACCGAUGUGAAAUCCCCGGGCUUAACCUGGGAACUGCAUUGGUGACUGGCGGGCUAGAGUAUGGCAGAGGGGGGUAGAAUUCCACGUGUAGCAGUGAAAUGCGUAGAUAUCUGGAGGAACACCGGUGGCGAAGGCGGCAUCCUGGACCGAUACUGACGCUGAGGAGCGAAAGCCAGGGGAGCAAACGGG
This 253-nucleotide ribosomal RNA is filed under the name uncultured bacterium. Its description in RNAcentral is "partial 16S ribosomal RNA". It matches the Rfam family "Bacterial small subunit ribosomal RNA", at positions 524 to 776 of the family's 1533-position model. The record is from RNAcentral.